This 352-nucleotide unclassified non-coding RNA is filed under the name soil metagenome. Its description in RNAcentral is "partial contains 5.8S ribosomal RNA, internal transcribed spacer 2, and large subunit ribosomal RNA". The stretch from base 1 to 120 matches the Rfam family "5.8S ribosomal RNA", at positions 35 to 154 of the family's 154-position model. The record is from RNAcentral.
GAUGAAGAACGCAGCGAAAUGCGAUAAGUAAUGUGAAUUGCAGAAUUCAGUGAAUCAUCGAAUCUUUGAACGCACAUUGUGCCCGCCAGUAUUCUGGCGGGCAUGCCUGUUCGAGCGUCAUUACAACCCUCAGGCCCCCGGGCCUGGCGUUGGGGAUCGGCGGAGCCCCCCGUGGGCACACGCCGUCCCCCAAAUGCAGUGGCGGUCCCGCCGCAGCUUCCAUCGCGUAGUAGCUAACACCUCGCGACUGGAGAGCGGCGCGGCCACGCCGUAAAACACCCAACUCUUCUGAAGUUGACCUCGAAUCAGGUAGGAAUACCCGCUGAACUUAAGCAUAUCAAUAAGCGGAGGA